AUUUGGCUGUGCUCGCAAGAGAACCGGAACACAGGUGCUGCAUGGCUGUCGUCAGCUCGUGUCGUGAGAUGUUGGGUUAAGUCCCGCAACGAGCGCAACCCUUGUCAUUAGUUGCUACGAAAGGGCACUCUAAUGAGACUGCCGGUGACAAACCGGAGGAAGGUGGGGAUGACGUCAAGUCCUCAUGGCCCUUAUGGGUAGGGCUUCACACGUCAUACAAUGGUCGGGACAGAGGGUCGCCAACCCGCGAGGGGGAGCCAAU
Molecule: ribosomal RNA, 262 nt
Filed under: uncultured bacterium
Lineage: Bacteria
Description: partial 16S ribosomal RNA
Rfam family: Bacterial small subunit ribosomal RNA
Source: RNAcentral